CCCAGCACACCGUGUCGUCAUAAGGCGAAGAGCGCAUGCGCACCCCUCCCCCAAAACAUUCCCUGAGCGUCAAUCACUCAGUGAGCGGAAGAUGGUUUCAUUCAGCAGCGACCGGAAACAUUGCGGCUCCGCGGGUCGUGGAAAGGCUUUGAGGGACUAGGAGGCCAAUCACUUGCUGCAGACAGGCUCUGAUCUGUUUUUGAAGCCACAGUAAUAUUGUAGCUGGUUAUAAAAUGUACCUUGUACACAGUUAUCAUAAACUAACCAUCACUGAAUUGUGAUCAGA
Carcharodon carcharias (great white shark) is the source of this 286-nucleotide long non-coding RNA. RefSeq lists it as uncharacterized. Lineage: Eukaryota; Metazoa; Chordata; Chondrichthyes; Lamniformes; Lamnidae. The record is from RefSeq and is a predicted model, not a curated record. The transcript has 2 exons.